RNAcentral lists this ribosomal RNA (1562 nucleotides) under Glomus sp. 25 ZHNL-2013b. RNAcentral describes it as "eukaryotic LSU rRNA". The stretch from base 718 to 1562 matches the Rfam family "Eukaryotic large subunit ribosomal RNA", at positions 1 to 695 of the family's 3401-position model. The record is from RNAcentral. Lineage: Eukaryota; Fungi; Glomeromycota; Glomeromycetes; Glomerales; Glomeraceae.
UAUUGCUCUUGAACGAGGAAUCCCUAGUAAGUACAAGUCACUAGCUUGUGCUGAUUACGUCCUUGCCCUUUGUACACACCGCCCGUCGCUACUACCGAUUGAAUGGCUUAGUGAGGCCCUCGGAUUGAGGCUCGGAGACUGGAGACAGACUCUUGGUUUUGAAAAGUUGGUCAAACUUGGUCAUUUAGAGGAAGUAAAAGUCGUAACAAGGUUUCCGUAGGUGAACCUGCGGAAGGAUCAUUACCGAUUUUUAGCGGAUCUGAUCUUUGGUCAUGGUCUCGCGAAAAACUUGUAUUUAAAACCCCACUCUUAUAAAUUAAAUCAUAUCAUUUAUACAAUGUAUAUAAUAAAUAAAGAUCACUUUCAACAACGGAUCUCUUGGCUCUCGCAUCGAUGAAGAACGUAGCGAAGUGCGAUAAGUAAUGUGAAUUGCAAAAUUCCGUGAAUCAUCGAAUCUUUGAACGCAAAUUGCACUCUCUGGCAACCCGGGGAGUAUGCCUGUUUGAGGGUCAGUGUUAAUAAAAAUCGGUGCGUUGCAAUUUUUUGUGACGUUCUGGAGUUUGAGUUAUCUUAACUUGGUUAUAAGAGGCUUAAAAUUGACCUUUUUUUGUGCAUUUUAGACGUACAUAAAUUUUUUUUUAUUCGUCCAUCCUAAUGCCAAAAUCUAUUAGAUGCGACCAUAUUUUGUGGUUCCGUGUCUAUAAAUUUUUCAUGAUUUGACCUCAAAUCAGGUAGGAACACCCGCUGAACUUAAGCAUAUCAAUAAGCGGAGGAAAAGAAAAUAACAAUGAUUCCCCUAGUAACUGCGAGUGAAGAGGGACAAGCUCAAAUUUUAAAUCUGUCAGGUUCUACCUGACUGAGUUGUAAUUUGAAGAUGGCGUUUUCUGUGUUUCUGAUCGGUCCAAGUCCUUUGGGAUAAGGCAUCAUGGAGGGUGAGAAUCCCGUUCGGUUGAUCAGAUUCGCUUUAUGAUACGUUAUCAAAGAGUCAAGUUGUUUGGGAUUGCAGCUUAAAAUGGGAGGUAAAUUUCUCCUAAGGCUAAAUAACGGCGAGAGACCGAUAGCGAACAAGUACCGUGAGGGAAAGAUGAAAAGAACUUUGAAAAGAGAGUUAAACAGUACGUGAAAUUGUUGAAAGGGAAACGAUUGAAGCCAGUCGUACCUAUGGGUAAUCAGCCUUUUGGGUGUGAUUUUGUGGAGCGUGAAGAGUUAAACGCCUUCAUGCCUGCAUAUUCGCGCACUUUGGGUGUACUUGCCCGUGUGUAAGUUAACAUCAAUUUUGGUGGUCAUAAAAUGGCUGGAGGAAUGUAGCUUCGAUCUUGUAUUGAAGUGUUAUAGCCUUCGGUAGAUGUGACGAUCGGGAUUGAGGAUUGCAACGGAUACCCUUCGGGGCUACCUAUCUGAUCUCUGACCGUUGUUCUGGUGCCGAAAGCUUGCUUACGGUUAUCAAAGUCGAUGGUCAAUAGGUUAGAAUGGGUUAAAUUCGUUAAGGAUGUUGACGUAAUGGCUUUAAACGACCCGUCUUGAAACACGGACCAAGGAGUCUAACAUAUGUGCGAGUGUUU